Pogona vitticeps (central bearded dragon) is the source of this 2396-nucleotide long non-coding RNA. The record is from Ensembl. NCBI's taxonomy places the organism in Eukaryota, Metazoa, Chordata, Lepidosauria, Squamata, Agamidae.
AACAACCUUAUGCAUGCCAAACGCCUAGCAAUCCAAGUGAGCAUUGGGCCUAAAAAGGGGACCACCUCUGAAACAGGUUUGAGAACGGGGAAGCCAAUACAUUCAAUCUGUUGAAUUGGAUCCAGGCCCCAGAGUAUGCAAAGAGUGGCACUCCCCUCUCUCUGACCAGCUAUGCUUUAAGUCAGACAGGAGUGAAACACACUCUGCACAUGCUUCGAAGAAAAGAUCAUGCUUCGAAGUAAGAUCAUGGAUCAUAACACUGAAGGACCUCAAGAGAGUUUUUUUACAAACCCAAGAAGAGUCUGGCCCCUUACAGUAACUGAGACUGGGAGAGGCUGCUCGCACCGCAGUGACGCCCUGCCUCCAUCUGGGGCUGCAUCACACAAGGCCACCAAAGGGUCACACAGAUGUUUCCAAAUAGCUGCUUGUCUGGAGGCAGGCCAACAGGCGAAAGAAGCCCUCUGCAGAUCCAAGCUGCCCCAGAAUCUCUUUCCGGCUCCAAAAUUCAAGUCUGGGUGUGAAGAGGGCAGCAGCAAAUCUGAGCAUGUGCAAAGUGCACGGUCCUUGUUGCCACAACAUGCCAUGUUCGGGAUACAGAGACAGAGGAACCAAAGCCCAAUUGAGCUGAAAUUCCAAGGGACCAAUCACUUCCUCACUGACAGAAUUAAAUAAUGCUCAAAGACCUAGCAAGUCUUUUGGAAAAGUCACUUACUUGGACAACAACUCCCAGAAACACCCCCACCCAGAGAGCUGUGUUGGAUACUGAGUCUGGGAAGAAUUAGCUAGGAAAGUAAUUUUUCCAAGUUCUGUGGCUCCUUCCUAAGGAAAAGAUAAUACCGCAGGAGAAGCCUGCCUAAAAGACUUGUUGUCUUGCCUGAAAAUAGCUUAAUUUCCUAUCCAGCAGAAAGGGAAUCCUUUGAAAUUAUCCCCAUUCUCAUCAUCCAAAAGACACAAGGAAGCAAUUGCAGACUCUCCCAUGCCUGGCCAGGGGAUGAUGGGAGUGCUGGUACAAGGAUGGAGAAGCUCUCCCUUAAUUGGGUUUUGGAUAGGGAGGUAUCAACCCUUUCCAAGAGAAGAGGCUAGAAAAAUCAAGGCAGAAAGAAAGAGAGAGCAAUUUUGAGGGAGGGGGGCUGGAUCACCUUUGUCAGAGAGUCAAGAGACACAUACCUUCCCUUGCCAUGCCCGGUCUCCUUCACUCCUCCCUAGCCACCUACCCUCUCAUGCCCACUCUUCUUUGCUGCAGGAGACAGCCAUGGCUGUGGGCCUUAUGCCCCUGAGGGGGUCGUACAUGAAGGGAAAGAAGAGCGCAAGGAGUGGCUGCAGGAGUGCACUGGGUGGGGCAGCCUGCACACCUCUAAGAAUUUUGUAGCCCCCACCCCAUAUUACACCACUGCUUUGUGCCUCCUAAAAACUUUGUGCCCGGGACAACUGCACUGUCACCCCCACCCUCACACUAUGCCACUGCAUCUCCAUCAGGUUAGAAUGUGGACAAGGCAGUAGCUCUAAAGUGAGAUGGAUAAAACCAGCUGGAAAGAGAUGAAUUCUUAUAACAAGUAUGAUUGGUACGGUAUGCCAUCUCCCAGACCUUGAGUCAGACCGAAUCAAUUCAAUGUACAUCAGUAUGAUUGGUACGGUAUGCCAUCUCCCAAACUUGAGUCAGACAGAAUCAAUUCAAUGUACAUCUUUUUUAAAGAAAAGAAGAAAGAAAGAAAGGAAAGGGAAAAAAAAAGAAAAGAAACUGAGUUUUAAACAUCACAUUUACUCCUUAUUGUGUGGGAGAGAGCAAACGAAAACCUGUGAAAAGAACUCAGUUGUAAACUAUUGAAAAUAUCCAGUGUGCCUCUUGAAUCAGUGAAUUUUACAGCAAUGUUAUAAAUGACAAAGCUGCUGUGUUCUGGCAUCAGAAUGAGUCAGCAAAAGUAACUUUGCACUUGAAUUAUAGAGUUGCAUGUAGAAGUAGGUCAGCAACCCAGGCAGAAAUUCCAAUAUUGUGGUGGAGAAGUAAGAAAACGAAACCUAUCCUCUUCUACCAAGAUUUACAUCACAUUACUUAUCACAGAAGAACAACAAUAUUCAACAGCAGUGAUGGUGUUAGGCUGGGCUAGGAUACUUCCCUGAGUUGAAAUAACUUUCAGGAAGAGAUCUAUCUGGUUUCCUCCACCAUGCUGAGGCCCUGUCAUACCACUCCUUAUUCGUACAAGCUUCCUCAUAAUUGGAGAGAGAAGAAGUAUGUGGAUCAGGCUGCUGUGCACAAUCCAUAUGUGAUUCCACAACAGCAAAUGAAAAAGCAGAUACAGCCAACCAUCCUCUUUCAAAGAAAGCAAGAUAAACAAGAGUGCAGCUAUGUUAUUGUGCAGCAGAGCAAAUAAACAGCCUGCAAGGCAAUUCUAAAAACA